GAUGAACGCUGGCGGCGUGCCUAAUACAUGCAAGUCGAGCGAACAGACGAGGAGCUUGCUCCUCUGACGUUAGCGGCGGACGGGUGAGUACCACGUGGAUAACCACCCUAUCAGACUGGGAUAACUUCGGGAAACCGGGGCUAAUACCGAAUAAUAUAUUGAACCCCAUGGUUCAAUAGUGAAAGACGGUUUUGCUGUCACUUCAAGAUGGUUCCGCGCCGCUUUAGCUAGUUGGUAAGGUAAGGGCUUACCAAGGCAACGAUGCUUAGCCGACCUGAGAGGGUGAUCGGCCACACUGGAACUGAGACACGGUCCAGACUCCUACGGGAGGCAGCAGUAGGGAAUCUUCCGCGAUGGGCGAAAGCCUGACGGAGCAACGCCGCGUGAGUGAUGAAGGUCUUCGGAUCGGAAAACUCUGUUAUUAGGGAAGAACAAAUGUGUAAGUAACUAUGCACGUCUUGACGGUACCUAAUCAGAAAGCCACGGCUAACUACGUG
Molecule: ribosomal RNA, 497 nt
Filed under: uncultured bacterium
Lineage: Bacteria
Description: partial 16S ribosomal RNA
Rfam family: Bacterial small subunit ribosomal RNA
Source: RNAcentral